RNAcentral lists this ribosomal RNA (253 nucleotides) under uncultured bacterium. RNAcentral's name for it is "partial 16S ribosomal RNA". It matches the Rfam family "Bacterial small subunit ribosomal RNA", at positions 524 to 776 of the family's 1533-position model. The record is from RNAcentral.
UACAGAGGUGGCAAGCGUUAUUCGGAAUUAUUGGGCGUAAAGGGCGCGUAGGCGGCUGGGCAAGUCCAAGGUGAAAUCCCUCGGCUCAACUGAGGAACUGCCUUGGAAACUGCCCGGCUUGAGGCCGGGAGAGGGUAGUGGAAUUCCCAGUGUAGCGGUGAAAUGCGUAGAUAUUGGGAGGAACACCGGUGGCGAAGGCGGCUACCUGGACCGGUUCUGACGCUGAGGCGCGAAAGCGUGGGGAGCAAACAGG